UACAGGGGGGGCAAGCGUUGUUCGGAAUUACUGGGCGUAAAGGGUUCGUAGGUGGCCAACUUAGUCAGACGUGAAAUCCCUCAGCUUAACUGGGGAACUGCGUCUGAUACUGGAUGGCUUGAGUGCAGGAGAGGAACGCGGAAUUCCAGGUGUAGCGGUGAAAUGCGUAGAUAUCUGGAGGAACACCGGUGGCGAAGGCGGCAUCCUGGACCGGCAUUGACGCUGAGGCGCGAAAGCCAGGGGAGCAAACGGG
RNAcentral lists this ribosomal RNA (253 nucleotides) under uncultured bacterium. Its description in RNAcentral is "partial 16S ribosomal RNA". It matches the Rfam family "Bacterial small subunit ribosomal RNA", at positions 524 to 776 of the family's 1533-position model. The record is from RNAcentral.